UUUCCCCCGCUGAAACCCCUAAUUUUUUCCCCUCUUCUUCGCGGUCUAUGAGCAUUUCGCUUCUUCACCCUUUUCAAACUCAUUUCUUUCUCCUCUUCUUUCUUUUUUUCGGAUCUUCUUUCUCCCUCUCUCCAAAGUUCUUCGAUUCUUUCCGUCUCCUUUUCGCUCGCUCUCUGGUAAUUUCAUCUUUUAAAACAGGGCCGGUCUAGCCAAUCUCUACCAGGACGGUUUAAUGUUGACCUUCGAGGGUCAAAAGAUCCAAGGCUCUCAGAGCAUUGUCGCUAAACUCACCAGCCUUCCUUUCCAGCGGUGUUAGCACAGCAUCACCACUGUCGAUUGUCAGCCCUCCAGCGUUGGCGGCAUGCUGGUUUUCGUCAGUGGUACCCUCCAACUCGUCAGUGGUUUCGAUUCGUAGGAUGAGAACCGGUAUAGUGUAGGAAGAGGAGUGCACAAAAAUCUGAAACGUGCAGAGAAAGCUCGCAUUCUAGUUAGCAAAUUACCAUGUUGCUGAGAAGACUGCUCUUCUGCGGCCUAUAGAACUUAAACUUGUUCCUAUGGCCUUGGAAGGCAGUGCAUUUAGAAGCAAGUUUCUUGAUACGGAUGAACUUAUGAGCUACUGUAGCUGGUUUGCGACUUUCAGCAGCAUGAUCCCAAAAUGGCUGCGGAAAACCAAAAUUGUCAAGAAAAUUAGCCAAAUGUUGGUGAAUCACCUUGGACUAAAUUUGACCAAAGAUCUGCAAAAUGUGGUUGAUUUAAUGGAGCCAUAUGGUCAGAUAAGCAAUGGAAUAGAAUAUCUAAAUCCUCCCAUUGAUGUCAGUAACUAACUUGCUUGUCAUUUUAAAUAUGCAAGUCAAUUGCUAUUAAUAAUUUUUUGUUGGAUUCUUUUUGGACUGAAAAAUAAUUUCUGAGGAUAGUCUAAGAAUCUUAAAUUUUAUAGAAAGCCAAUAAAGUGCUUGGUGGACGAAAUGUGGUGAUUAAUUGAAUUGCAAGGUCAUACAUGCUGUUAAUUUUUUAA
Long non-coding RNA from Gossypium raimondii (Peruvian cotton), 1015 nucleotides. RefSeq lists it as uncharacterized. The transcript has 4 exons. Lineage: Eukaryota; Viridiplantae; Streptophyta; Magnoliopsida; Malvales; Malvaceae. The record is from RefSeq and is a predicted model, not a curated record.